UACAUUCCUAGAGAAUUCUGAACUUUUGAAGCUUAUCCGAGACUAAUUACUCCUUUGUCUCGUAGACCAAGUCCUCCUCUGAUCUACCCACGCCGUACUCCUGGACGAGGAUGAUCUCUUCAAUCUAAAGAGAGUCUGAUAGAGCAGAUUCAAACCGCCUGCAGAGUGUCUCCCUGCUGGGCACCAUCGUCUUCACCUCCUACAUGGAGAAGUCCUGUCGGAAGCGUCUUCCUUGCUUCUCUAAACCAGGACUGCUGCUAUUAAGCAGAUAAAGAUCUCAUCACUGUCCUCAAGAUUGAGAUCUGAUGUUUAACUCAACCUUAUUCGGAUCCAAUCAUCAUCUAUCCGUACCUCCUCUCGGAGAAGUAUCCGUUCCUCCUCUAGGAGCAGUAUCCGUUCCUCCUCUCGGAGAAGUAUCCGUACCUCCUCUCGGAGAAGUCCCGUCGGAAGCAUCUGUGUUUCUCUAAACCGGGACUGCUGCUUUCGAGCAGAUAAAGUUAUGUAUAAGAGACAGCUGGUAACGAUCAUCCAACUCUAGAGCUAUUAAAUUCUCCGGCCUAAUCAACUUUUUCACGGGUCCUAGCUCUGUAUCGCUGUACCAGAAAUA
Molecule: long non-coding RNA, 607 nt
Filed under: Eurytemora carolleeae
Lineage: Eukaryota; Metazoa; Arthropoda; Copepoda; Calanoida; Temoridae
Description: uncharacterized LOC111695959
Source: RNAcentral